RNAcentral lists this transfer RNA (85 nucleotides) under Chitinispirillales bacterium. Its description in RNAcentral is "tRNA-Ser". It matches the Rfam family "tRNA". From Rfam's summary of the family: Transfer RNA (tRNA) molecules are approximately 80 nucleotides in length. Their secondary structure includes four short double-helical elements and three loops (D, anti-codon, and T loops). Further hydrogen bonds mediate the characteristic L-shaped molecular structure. tRNAs have two regions of fundamental functional importance: the anti-codon, which is responsible for specific mRNA codon recognition, and the 3' end, to which the tRNAs corresponding amino acid is attached (by aminoacyl-tRNA synthetases). tRNAs cope with the degeneracy of the genetic code in two manners: having more than one tRNA (with a specific anti-codon) for a particular amino acid; and 'wobble' base-pairing, i.e. permitting non-standard base-pairing at the 3rd anti-codon position. The record is from RNAcentral. Lineage: Bacteria; Pseudomonadati; Fibrobacterota; Chitinispirillia; Chitinispirillales.
GGAGAGGUGCCCGAGCGGUUGAAGGGGGCGGUCUCGAAAACCGUUGUACCGCAAGGUACCCAGGGUUCGAAUCCCUGCCUCUCCG